Oncorhynchus tshawytscha (Chinook salmon) is the source of this 1133-nucleotide long non-coding RNA. The record is from Ensembl. Lineage: Eukaryota; Metazoa; Chordata; Actinopteri; Salmoniformes; Salmonidae.
AAUAUAGUUAAAGUAUACAUCAAUAUAUUUUAUAACUUUUUUCUGACAUUUAUUGAUCAAAAUACAGUCUUUGUAAAUGGAUUUCCAAAAGUAGAAAUGGUUACAAAUAAUAACAUUUUACUAAAACUCUCCUGUCUCUGUGUCAGUUUAAUGGUGUCAUCAUUUCAGUUUGGGUCUGUUGUGUUGAGGGUUUGGUAGGUGGAGUCUUGGGUUGUUGUAUUGAGGGUUUGGUAGGUGGAGUCUUGGGUUGAUGUGUUGAGGGUUUGGCAGGUGGAGUCUUGGGUUGUUGUGUUGAGGGUUUGGCAGGUGGAGUCUUGGGUUGAUGUGUUGAGGGUUUUGUAGGUGGAGUCUUGGGUUGUUGUAUUGAGGGUUUGGUAGGUGGAGUCUUGGGUUGUUGUGUUGAGGGUUUGGUAGGUGGAGUCUUGGGUUGCUGUGUUGAGGGUUUGGUAGGUGGAGUCUUGGGUUGUUGUGUUGAGGGUUUGGUAGGUGGAGUCUUGGGUUGCUGUGUUGAGGGUUUGGUAGGUGGAGUCUUGGGUUGCUAUGUUGAGGGUUUGGUAGGUGGAGUCUUGGGUUGCUAUGUUGAGGGUUUGGUAGGAGGAGUCUUGGGUUGUUGUGUCUGGAUUGGUGACUGGCCCUGUGGAACACAACAUAUAAAUCAUGUGUGUGUACGUGCAGUGGUGUGGUAGUGGUGUAGUAGUGUAGUGGUGUAGUAGUGUAGUAGUGUAGUGCUGUAGUAGUGUAGUAGAGGUGUAGUAGAGGUGUAGUGGUGUAGUAGUGUAGUGGUGUAGUAGUGUAGUAGUGUAGUGGUGUAGUAGUGUAGUGGUGUAGUAGUGUAGUAGUGUAGUAGUGUAGUAGUGUAGUAGUGUAGUAGUGUAGUGGUGUAGUAGUGUAGUGGUGUAGUAGUGGUGUAGUAGUGUAGUAGUGUAGUUGUGCCUGGAGCAGUGGGUAUACUCUAAUUUUGCCCAAAAUGUCCCAAACGGCCCACCUGAAUGACCUAAAAUUAUACAUCUUCCACAGUCAGGUAAACCCAAGCUGUACUGUGCUGGCCUGAAUAUUUUCUUCAUGCUAACAGUUCUAGCAGGAGUAUCCAGGCCAAUCUGGGCUUGGCUUGGCAUGGCUGAGUGUCAGCUUAG